GCUAACUCCGUGCCAGCAGCCGCGGUAAUACGGAGGGUGCGAGCGUUAAUCGGAAUUACUGGGCGUAAAGCGCGCGUAGGCGGUUUGUUAAGUCAGCUGUGAAAGCCCCGGGCUUAACCUCGGAAUGGCAGUUGAUACUGGCAAGCUAGAGUGUGGUAGAGGGUAGUGGAAUUUCCGGUGUAGCAGUGAAAUGCGUAGAGAUCGGAAGGAACACCAGUGGCGAAGGCGGCUACCUGGACCAACACUGACGCUGAGGUGCGAAAGCGUGGGGAGCAAACAGGAUUAGAUACCCCAGUAGUC
This 300-nucleotide ribosomal RNA is filed under the name uncultured Methylocaldum sp. RNAcentral's name for it is "bacterial SSU rRNA". It matches the Rfam family "Bacterial small subunit ribosomal RNA", at positions 496 to 795 of the family's 1533-position model. The record is from RNAcentral. Lineage: Bacteria; Pseudomonadati; Pseudomonadota; Gammaproteobacteria; Methylococcales; Methylococcaceae.